ACUCGUGGUUUGCUCAGUUGGUAGAGCGCACCGCUAAAAAUGGAGAGGCUCCUGGUUCGAAACUAGGAACAAGUU
RNAcentral lists this transfer RNA (75 nucleotides) under Ixodes scapularis (black-legged tick). RNAcentral's name for it is "tRNA-Phe". The record is from RNAcentral. Lineage: Eukaryota; Metazoa; Arthropoda; Arachnida; Ixodida; Ixodidae.